Molecule: unclassified non-coding RNA, 249 nt
Filed under: Hevea brasiliensis (rubber tree)
Lineage: Eukaryota; Viridiplantae; Streptophyta; Magnoliopsida; Malpighiales; Euphorbiaceae
Source: RNAcentral
GGAACACACAACACAUUACAGUCCCUAAGGAAAAUCCUAGCUGCUAGUACUCUUGAGGCAAGAAGAUGGCUUUCCUUCUCCAUUACCUAGCCUACACUUUUAAAGUCUUAAGGACAUGCAAGAUAUGAGGAUAGACUUGCUUCAAGAUUAAAAGCUAGCAAGAUAAAUCAGUUUCUAACAAUUUCAAUCAUUCACUUGGCUUUCAGCGCCCUUUCAAUUUAGCUGGCAAUUUUCUAAAGCUUGUAAAAU